Proteiniborus sp. DW1 is the source of this 135-nucleotide non-coding RNA. The record is from Rfam. Lineage: Bacteria; Bacillati; Bacillota; Clostridia; Eubacteriales.
GUUAUAAUUUUAAAUGUUCCGUAGACAGUAGGUACCUAAUGGUUUAAAAUUCACCUACCGAGGAUAGACUUGAAUGACUACUUAUGAAAUCAAAGGUCUCUCUAUGUCUACGGAGGGACCUUAAUUAUAUUUAAA